Molecule: ribosomal RNA, 402 nt
Filed under: Metschnikowia sp. (in: budding yeasts & allies)
Lineage: Eukaryota; Fungi; Ascomycota; Pichiomycetes; Serinales; Metschnikowiaceae
Description: LSU rRNA
Rfam family: Eukaryotic large subunit ribosomal RNA
Source: RNAcentral
AAGCGGCAAGAGCUCAAAUUUGAAAGCCUCGGCGUUGUAAUUUGAAGGCGUGCGGUCUGGCUGCCGCGAAGUGCCCUGGAACGGGCCGCCGCAGAGGGUGACAGCCCCGUGUGGCGUGCCGUGCCCGCGCGCCGACGAGUCGAGUUGUUUGGGAAUGCAGCUCCAAGUGGGUGGUAAACUCCAUCUAAAGCUAAAUACCGGCGAGAGACCGAUAGCGAACAAGUACAGUGAUGGAAAGAUGAAAAGCACUUUGAAAAGAGAGUGAAACAGUACGUGAAAUUGUUGAAAGGGAAGGGCUGGCGCGCAGACACCGCGAGGGCCUAGGGAGUGUUGGGCAGACGGGACAAGCGGCGGAGCCGCUUAGGCAUUGCUCCGUCGGAUGCCGUUUGCUCGACACAGGCC